AAUGUCGAAGGUUCUGUGAAAUAUUUAGACUUAAACUUGAUGCUUUUUAGUUUAUUCAAGGAUUAAAAUAAUCUAACGAUAUAAAUUGAGUCAAAACGAUUAACUUUGGUAUAAAGGACUAAAUUCUACGUUUCAAUAUUACGGUUGCUCAAAACAUUAGUUGCAAUUAUGCUCGGGGAUAGUAACUCGUCUGGAAUGGAUUGAGAAUAUUAGAAUGUUUGGAAUGAAUCUACGUUCGGGCAUAGUGAUGAUUGGAGUUUUAUAUUUGACUGCCUCUAAGUUUGGGCAUAGUGACCGCUAAUUGAAAUAUUGGAAUAUUGGAUGAAGUCAAAUUUCAGAAUUUCGGAAUGUUAAUGUUAUUCACUAUUCCCCAUUCAUUCAUUGUUUGUGAGAAGUGACGAAAAUUGGAACGACCAUCAAUUUCUCAAUAAUGUUGAAAUGGCUUACUGAAUGUGAUCGUGUUUGUUCACAGAGCCACAUUGCUGAUUUCGGGAUGCGGAAAUUGCUGAAGUGACUGAACAAAAUGGAACUUCAAAAUAGAACCAAAAAAAAAAAAGAAUACUACAAAUUUUUCUUCGGAUCUUACUCCAGAUUUGCUUGUAGAUGCAAUCGGAAAUCAAGAUUUACUAGACGAUCCACCGAGAAAGAAAAGAAAAAGGUUUUCUUUCGAAGAAAAGAAAAAUAUUUUAGAAGCAAUGACUCGGUAUUCCGCAGUUGUGAUAUGCAAAAAAUAUGAACUAAGCGAUCGUACUUUAAGAAAAUGGAAAUCGGAGAAAGAAAAGAUCAUUCAAGAGGCGAAAAAAACGAAUUGCAAAAAAUUGAAAAAGAAGUCCAAUGUCACGGAAAUGGACGAUGCCAUGUUUCAAUGGUUAGUUGAAGUACAAGACAAAGGAAUUCCGAUUUCUGGACCGAUGAUUCGACGACAAGCUUUGAUCGCGAAAGCACAUCAUCCGAAAAAUGACCAAUUCAGGGCCAGCGAAGGUUGGUUAUCUAGAUUCAAGAAAAGGAAAAAUAUUCGAUGCUUGAAAAUUACAGGGGAAAAAUUGUCGACUAAUGAAGUUGCAGCAAAGUUAUGUGAAGAAGAAUUAAAAAAAAUGGUUGCAAUCAAAAAAUUGCAAAAAAAAAAUAUUUUCAACAUGGCUGAGAGUGAUAUCUAUAUCAAACAAGUACCUAGUCGUACUUUGGCUCCAAACUGUGUUAAAAAUAAACAUUAAUAUAGUAAAAUCGCCAAAUGUAUAUAAUCUCUAUUUCUUUGAAUAAUAUCAAUUAUUAUUUUAAUGAUAGUAAUCGAAAUUUCUGACACUUUUUUUAAUGAUAUUAUUACUAUUUUAUGAAUUUUGUGAUGAAAUAAUAUUAUUAAAAAAAUAAUGACAAUAAAUUGAAUUUAAAACAGACAAUUAUAGGCUAUUUCAUUGAGCCAGCGUUUGGCACUGUUGAGAGAGACGAAUAUGAAACCCGAAGUGAGCCCGUGGUGGGGGUUACGUUCGAGCGAGAAUAUGGGGAAGCGGCACUAUUCUCCACAAAACAGAACCUGUCUCAUGUAUUUCGUGAAAGAUCGAACUCACGAGUUCCUGCAGUGCGGACAUUUUUGCGUGUGUCUUGGAUGUGCCAUGCGUUGCACAGAGUCAACCAUGAUAUGUUCAGUACGCCUAAAACCUGUCAUAAAAUGCCAGAACACCAUUUUUGUAUGAGACGAUUCAACGUGUAAUUAA
This 1712-nucleotide unclassified non-coding RNA is filed under the name Neodiprion lecontei (redheaded pine sawfly). Its description in RNAcentral is "jerky protein homolog-like, transcript variant X3". The record is from RNAcentral. Lineage: Eukaryota; Metazoa; Arthropoda; Insecta; Hymenoptera; Diprionidae.